RNAcentral lists this ribosomal RNA (292 nucleotides) under uncultured Planctomycetota bacterium. RNAcentral describes it as "uncultured planctomycete partial 16S ribosomal RNA". The record is from RNAcentral. Lineage: Bacteria; Pseudomonadati; Planctomycetota.
GGACUACUGGGGUAUCUAAUCCCGUUUGCUCCCCUGGCUUUCGCGCCUCAGCGUCAGUAGGUGUCCAGCACGUCGCUUUCGCCACCGGCGUUCCUUCCGAUAUCUACGCAUUUCACCGCUCCACCGGAAGUUCCACAUGCCCCUGCACCCCUCGAGACCGCCAGUAUCCGCGGCACUUCCCCGGUUGAGCCGGGGGCUUUCACCACAGACUUGACGGCCCGCCUACGCGCCCUUUAAGCCCAGUGAAUCCGAACAACGUUCGCACGGUUCGUCUUACCGCGGCUGCUGGCAC